GGACUACUAGGGUUUCUAAUCCUGUUCGCUCCCCACACUUUCGCUCCUCAGCGUCAGGUAAUGCCCAGAGAACCGCCUUCGCCACCGGUGUUCCUCCUGAUAUCUGCGCAUUUCACCGCUACACCAGGAAUUCCGUUCUCCCCUGCAUACCUCUAGUCUGCCCGUAUCGGAAGCAGGCACGGGGUUAAGCCCCGUGUUUUCACUCCCGACGCGACAAACCGCCUACGAGCCCUUUACGCCCAAUAAUUCCGGACAACGCUCGCACCCUACGUAUUACCGCGGCUGCUGACAC
RNAcentral lists this unclassified non-coding RNA (292 nucleotides) under uncultured Nocardioidaceae bacterium. RNAcentral's name for it is "contains 16S-23S intergenic spacer region". The record is from RNAcentral. Lineage: Bacteria; Bacillati; Actinomycetota; Actinomycetes; Propionibacteriales; Nocardioidaceae.